CCUGCGGGUGGCAGCAGUGAGGAAUAUUGGUCAAUGGGCGCGAGCCUGAACCAGCCAAGUAGCGUGAAGGAUGACUGCCCUACGGGUUGUAAACUUCUUUUAUAAAGGAAUAAAGUGAGGCACGUGUGCCUUUUUGUAUGUACUUUAUGAAUAAGGAUCGGCUAACUCCGUGCCAGCAGCCGCGGUAAUACGGAGGAUCCGAGCGUUAUCCGGAUUUAUUGGGUUUAAAGGGAGCGUAGAUGGGUUGUUAAGUGAGUUGUGAAAGUUUGCGGCUCAACCGUAAAAUUGCAGUUGAUACUGGCAGUGUUGAGUACAGUGGAGGUAGGCGGAAUACGUGGUGUAGCGGUGGUGUAAUGAG
This 358-nucleotide ribosomal RNA is filed under the name uncultured bacterium. Its description in RNAcentral is "partial 16S ribosomal RNA". It matches the Rfam family "Bacterial small subunit ribosomal RNA", at positions 338 to 695 of the family's 1533-position model. The record is from RNAcentral.